Anarrhichthys ocellatus (wolf-eel) is the source of this 2074-nucleotide long non-coding RNA. RefSeq lists it as uncharacterized. The transcript is spliced from 2 exons. The record is from RefSeq and is a predicted model, not a curated record. Lineage: Eukaryota; Metazoa; Chordata; Actinopteri; Perciformes; Anarhichadidae.
UAUACAGGAGAUAUAAAAUAUCUCCACAAUGGACAUGCCGUUAUGCCAUCUUAAAUCUAACACAACGACCUCUGCUGGUACACAGGACGUAUGACACACCGUGCUCACUGGUUGACAAUUAUACUCGGACAUAGAUACAUCACCGUUACAGGGAUACAGGAUAAUUAUAUCAAAUAUAAAAGAUACAAAACAUUAUACACUUGUUGCCCAGUAUAGGUUUUUUUAACAGAGUAAUCUCAAAUAUAUGUACUGUUCUGCAUAGAUAGUGCCACUGCUCUUAAGGCGCAGAGAUGUGGACUACUGCCUUUUAAUUUUAAGAGGUAAAAGUAAGGCUAAAUAGAUAAUAAAAGAGUUGUGUGUGUUAGUAUGCGCCUCCACCCUAGGUUAAGGGUUAAUACUAAUGUCUACAGGUUCCAGGAGCCGGGCCCUGUAUGAGCAGAUGUGUGUGUGUGUGCAGUCUGUGCACUGUUUGCGCAGUCUCAGACUGUGCAUCGAUCCAUGACACUAACCACAAUGCCUUCCUGCUGAUGUUGCAAUAAUUACCAAAGCGCUUCUGCCUGUCAACCUGGCCAUCUGGAAAGUAGCUACAAUCCCUCUGAUGGCCUCGUGCUGAACCCAUUACCCUGUAUGGCGGCAUGUAAAUCAUGUUUUUGGUCUUUUCGUUAAUUGUUUUUUUAAAUGGUGCAUCUAACGCCUCAUUUUAUGACCAGGGAAUUACAGCCCUUCCAAGAGAUCACAAUUUGGUGACUAUCAAAACUUUCCCUUUACAUUUCUUUAGGACUUUUCUUAAUUUCAAAAUAUCGAGGACACAUAAUCCGUUUGUUUUUGUUGCAGUUGGUGUGAGGUUGACCCACAGUUUUGGGUAAAAUGCUUGGACUUCCUACAGACACACAGGAAUACCUCUCCAAGCUUAUACCCUUACAUGGAUAAUAUCUGUUUCACAACAAUCACUCUUUGAUUAUAUUUCAGUACAUUUCACAGCUAACAUGCACAUGAGCAUUUGAACACAACACCUCCUUCCUCUUCCUACCCCUCACAGGCAGAGGUGUUCAAUGCGUUCAGGGAGUUCUUCCAGGCAGCGUCGUCUCGACCAGCUCCGUGUGGUGUAUGUCCCUACCCGUCAUCCCGGGCCAUCUACGCUGUGGACCUCAUGCUAAAGUGGAGUACGGGUCAAAAAGGUGAGCGAGUCAUGCAGCCUCAGAUCCUGGAGUUCAACUUCAGCCCAGACUGCGCCAGGGCCUGCCUCUACCACCCCUCCUUCUACAACCACAUGUUCCAGACACUGUUCCUGGAUCAGCCCGAGCACUGUCCGGUCACACAAAUAGCAUGAUCGACUCCACUCUGUCUUUCUCUGUCACCGGUUUACCACCUACAUUCUAGUUGAUAUUAAAAGCUUAUGAAACACGUUUGCCUCUGUAACUCAAUUCCUCGUGAAUCUUUAAAUCAUUACCUUUUUUUUAUUUUAAUAGUUAUUACAAGGUUGUCCUCUGAACCUGAUGGUGUUAUGAACUUGGUGGUGGUGAUUAAAACUCAAACACUGCUGUACACAAUGAGAAGCAAUAAAACCAUGUUUGGAUUAUACAUGAUUGUGAUGAAACUUAAGUAUUCAGUUACCUUUCCCCUCCUCCGCCCACCUUCCUGUUCAUCACUUCUUUCCUUCCUUGUGGCUUCACACGUCGGUCGUCUACUUGAAGAGGAGAGAACAUUCAGACAGAAAUAGAUGAACAUCUGCUUAGUUGUAAAAAGGGAAGUUUAAGCAAGCAGCUCUAGAUAAAGAAUGUGCAGAAGAUGAAAUCUGUUCAUUCGAUGUGUGAUUAGAUAUAUGACCAUGGGUUUCCGCCAGAAAAGUUGUUUGGCCCUGUGGCAAGCGUCGUUUUAAAAAUUCUUUAAUGUAUUUUUCUUUGUUUCUGUGUUAUUAUUCGGUUAAUGCUGACUUGUCAGUGAUUUUCUACCUGGUGUAGUGUAGAUGUAUCUUUACUCAAGUAGACCGGGCCUUAAUUCUAUAAUCUGGGUAUUUAUGUGUGUGUAUUUUUUAUCUUUGUCCCAAUUAAUAAAUACAUGUUUAACUUUAAAA